This is a non-coding RNA of Cordylochernes scorpioides, 69 nucleotides long. NCBI's taxonomy places the organism in Eukaryota, Metazoa, Arthropoda, Arachnida, Pseudoscorpiones, Chernetidae. The record is from the annotation of a GenBank genome assembly.
UGUCCAAUGCGGGGAUCGAACCCGGGUCGUAGUGGUUGUAAACCAAACGGUUUAACCAGCCUCAACCUC